RNAcentral lists this ribosomal RNA (392 nucleotides) under Bacillus subtilis. RNAcentral's name for it is "bacterial SSU rRNA". It matches the Rfam family "Bacterial small subunit ribosomal RNA", at positions 1081 to 1483 of the family's 1533-position model. The record is from RNAcentral. Lineage: Bacteria; Bacillati; Bacillota; Bacilli; Caryophanales; Bacillaceae.
UUAGUUCUACGAGGGCCCUUGAUUUAGUUGCCAGCAUUCAGUUGGGCACUUUAAGGUGAUGCCGGUGACAAACCGGAGGAAGGUGGGGAUGACGUCAAAUCAUCAUGCCCCUUAUGACCUGGGCUACACACGUGCUACAAUGGACAGAACAAAGGGCAGCGAAACCCGAGGUUAAGCCAAUCCCACAAAUCUGUUCUCAGUUCGGAUCGCAGUCUGCAACUCGACUGCGUGAAGCUGGAAUCGCUAGUAAUCGCGGAUCAGCAUGCCGCGGUGAAUACGUUCCCGGGCCUUGUACACACCGCCCGUCACACCACGAGAGUUUGUAACACCCGAAGUCGGUGAGGUAACCUUUUAGGAGCGAGCCGCCGAAGGUGGACAGAUGAUUGGGGGGG